Molecule: ribosomal RNA, 910 nt
Filed under: uncultured bacterium
Lineage: Bacteria
Description: bacterial SSU rRNA
Rfam family: Bacterial small subunit ribosomal RNA
Source: RNAcentral
AUCAUGGCUCAGGAUGAACGCUAGCUACAGGCUUAACACAUGCAAGUCGAGGGGAAACGACAUCGAAAGCUUGCUUUUGAUGGGCGUCGACCGGCGCACGGGUGAGUAACGCGUAUCCAACCUGCCCACCACUUGGGGAUAACCUUGCGAAAGUAAGACUAAUACCCAAUGACGUCUCUAGAAGACAUCUGAAGGAGAUUAAAGAUUUAUCGGUGAUGGAUGGGGAUGCGUCUGAUUAGCUUGUUGGCGGGGUAACGGCCCACCAAGGCGACGAUCAGUAGGGGUUCUGAGAGGAAGGUCCCCCACAUUGGAACUGAGACACGGUCCAAACUCCUACGGGAGGCAGCAGUGAGGAAUAUUGGUCAAUGGACGAGAGUCUGAACCAGCCAAGUAGCGUGCAGGAUGACGGCCCUAUGGGUUGUAAACUGCUUUUAUAAGGGAAUAAAGUGAGUCUCGUGAGACUUUUUGCAUGUACCUUAUGAAUAAGGACCGGCUAAUUCCGUGCCAGCAGCCGCGGUAAUACGGAAGGUCCGGGCGUUAUCCGGAUUUAUUGGGUUUAAAGGGAGCGUAGGCCGGAGAUUAAGCGUGUUGUGAAAUGUAGACGCUCAACGUCUGCACUGCAGCGCGAACUGGUUUCCUUGAGUACGCACAAAGUGGGCGGAAUUCGUGGUGUAGCGGUGAAAUGCUUAGAUAUCACGAAGAACUCCGAUUGCGAAGGCAGCUCACUGGAGCGCAACUGACGCUGAAGCUCGAAAGUGCGGGUAUCGAACAGGAUUAGAUACCCUGGUAGUCCGCACGGUAAACGAUGGAUGCCGCUGUUGGUCUGAAUAGGUCAGCGGCCAAGCGAAAGCAUUAAGCAUCCCGCCUGGGGAGUACGCCGGCAACGGUGCAACUCAAAUGAAUUGACGGA